This 254-nucleotide long non-coding RNA is filed under the name Spirodela polyrhiza (greater duckweed). RNAcentral describes it as "long non-coding RNA (SPOL_LNC002439)". The record is from RNAcentral. Lineage: Eukaryota; Viridiplantae; Streptophyta; Magnoliopsida; Alismatales; Araceae.
UCUCUCUCCCGCCAUGUCUGUCUGUCUGUCUGUCUCUUUCUCGCACUCCGCAGGAAAGCUACACCGGGGUUCCAUCAUCGUCCCAAUCUCGGCGGUGUCCCUCAGAUUGCCCCACUAUCCCCGAACAAAAUUACCCGAGUGAACGGCAGGUGUCCUUGGGCGGUGGCAACUCGCCGGAGAAGGCUGGAGCUCGGGGGCGCCGCUGCCUCGGGGUCCUCCUCUCCUCUGUCGCACCGUCCGUCUGCUACCUGGAC